RNAcentral lists this ribosomal RNA (382 nucleotides) under uncultured prokaryote. RNAcentral describes it as "partial 16S ribosomal RNA". The record is from RNAcentral.
CCCUAUGGGGUGCAAUUUCACCCAGAAGUUACCCAUACCGAUGAAGGGUUAGCCAUUCUCAAAAACUUCUUAUAUCAUAUUUGUGGUUUAGUUGGGGAUUGGUCCAUGGCCAAUUUUCUAACAGAAGAAGUAGAGCGCAUUCGUCAACGAGUGGGUAAUGCUAAGGUUCUAUGUGCUUUAUCCGGUGGAGUCGAUUCCUCUGUUGCUGCAGCCUUAGUACACCGAGCCAUUGGUACAAAUCUGACCAGUGUAUUCGUGGAUCAUGGGUUGAUGCGCAAAGACGAAGGCGCACAGGUAAUCCGUUUAUUCCGCGAUGAGCUCAAGAUGAAUCUCAUACCGGUAGAUGCAUCGGAGCGCUUUGUGAGUAAGCUGGCGGGGGAGC